Molecule: ribosomal RNA, 254 nt
Filed under: uncultured bacterium
Lineage: Bacteria
Description: partial 16S ribosomal RNA
Rfam family: Bacterial small subunit ribosomal RNA
Source: RNAcentral
UACGGGGGGGGCAAGCGUUGUUCGGAAUUACUGGGCGUAAAGGGCGCGUAGGCGGCCUGCUAAGUCGGACGUGAAAUCCCUCGGCUCAACCGGGGAACUGCGUCCGAUACUGGCGAGGCUUGAAUCCGGGAGAGGGAUGUGGAAUUCCGAGUGUAGAGGUGAAAUUCGUAGAUAUUCGGAGGAACACCAGUGGCGAAGGCGGCAUCCUGGACCAACACUGACACUGAGGAGCGAAAGCCAGGGGAGCAAACGGG